Molecule: long non-coding RNA, 1931 nt
Organism: Aethalodelphis obliquidens (Pacific white-sided dolphin)
Lineage: Eukaryota; Metazoa; Chordata; Mammalia; Artiodactyla; Delphinidae
Exons: 8
Source: RefSeq, a predicted model, not a curated record
UAUGGAUCUCAGCUGCGGCCUGGCUCUUUCUCUCAGCUGUCGGCCCCCGAGUUUAACGCUAUACAUCUGUCCCUCCCAGACCAUGAGAGGAUGGUUGACUUCUCUUUCCAGGUGCCGCCUUUCACUUCCUCUCACCUCGAUUUAGUUCAGGACUUUUUGGUUUUUUGCAUUUUGGGACAAGUAGGAAGACAGAAUUUCAAGGUGGACAUCGUGGAUUACAAUUGCACAAAGUAGAGCCUGGCUUCUUUGUGGAGAGUCCAGAUGCAGGUGAUUUUGUCCCUCUGGGGCUACGUGGUAUCUUCUCUCAGCACCUCUCACCUACUUUACUCUUCUCUUUGAACACUGGAUUCCUAUAACUGUUCCAGAAUGAAAGCCUCGGCCCCAUGUCUCUUUGACCUUCCAGUUUGAUCCGUGUAGCAAACCGUUUCCCAGUACGAAUUUUCUGGAAGAGAAUUCCGAUUGGUCAAACAUGGGUGCCAUUCAUUAGAGGGACAGUGACCAAUGACAUCCAUUACGCACGGCCAUGAAUAUUUAUCUAGUGCCUUAUCCCUGUACCAGAGAGAACAGGAAAAGAGUUAUGAAGAGGCUUUUCUUUCACACCAGAUGACCAGUGUCCUUCCUCAGCUCAACUGAAAAAAUUAAGUGGACUGGUCUUCAGGUCUUGACAUAUUGGUUGCUUGAUGCAUGACUCCUGCUCAGUCUUCCUCCAGGAGGGCACCUGAUCCCGAUGAAGAAACGGCCCAGCAAGGUGGCCCAGCAGGUGGCCUAGCAGGUUUAGAUCAACAUUCGAAUCCAAGAGACUGGCUGGAAUGGAUGGCAAGCAGAUCAUAGGAACCUUGAAGACAAGGAAUACAUCUCUCGUUUAUUUGUAUUUUCUAAAAUUCCAAGCAGUUUCAGACAUACACCAGGACUAGGUAUCUCCCGUCUAAAUUGUGACCGCUACAGGGUUCAGAAAUACUGAGUGAACUGUGGGAUAGAUCCAUAUAAGUCUACGCGUACAAGGAAUGAAGAGGAUUCUUGGAAGGAAAAUCAUUCCAAGAGAAGGAGUUGGACACGAAAAGGUUGACAAAACCUUAGUUACUGAAGGCCUGGGGGUUAAAAGUCUAGAGAGAGAAGUCAAAAGGUUGGUGAUGUCUAACAGAAGCAAGAUCUGUACAGAAAAGCAGCAGUGCACUAAGACAUUUUAUUUAGUUUGAAUUUGGAAGUGGUCUUAAAAGAGCUUAGAAUGCCUAAGAAAGAAUGAUCCUUUUUUUGUUUUUUUUUUUUUAACUUGGAACUAUACAACCCUAUUUGGAGCAAUUGGACUAAUAUUGCUACGAGCCAACUGGGUCUUUACAAGCGGAGUUCAUUGAAUCUAUGCUACUCAUAGAUUUCUAGACAAGUCUACCUUACGCCUUACCACUUGAACACAUGUUCAGCACAUUAACAGCUCAUUCUUACUUUUAGCGAUACAGAAAUAGUUAUAAAUUCUAGACCAAGGUGACAAAAUAUUUUAAUUAUACAUGCUAGGCUUGUACCUUCCAGAGACCACUUAACUUAAAAUGUAUAUGACUGUUAAGGUUUUUAUGGGGGGAGGGUGUAUGAAACAUAUGCACACAUUUGCAACAUAUAUGUCUUUUAACCUCCAGGUUUUGAGAAUACUUUUAGCAAUGUGAGCUGUAUUUUUUUGCUUUUGGUCUACCUGAUUUCAACAUUAAGCCAUGUGUAAAAAUUAACUGUAAUGACAUUUAUAGGUCUCCAUGUAGCAUUAUGAGAAAUUUAAAAUUAGUUUAUAUUUUUAAAUAUAGCAUUAGCAACAUUGUCAGUCGAUAGUAAAUGAUAAAAAGAAAAUCUUUUGAAAGUUUCCCCAUGUUUCCAUCAAUAAAAUAUAACUAGACUUAUUUGAGAUGUCCAUACUCUUCAAUUGAAAAUAUUUUUGUAAGAAAAUUCUU